This 468-nucleotide ribosomal RNA is filed under the name uncultured bacterium. Its description in RNAcentral is "partial 16S ribosomal RNA". It matches the Rfam family "Bacterial small subunit ribosomal RNA", at positions 28 to 507 of the family's 1533-position model. The record is from RNAcentral.
GACGAACGCUGGCGGCGUGCUUAACACAUGCAAGUCGAACGGAAAGGCCCUGCUUUUGUGGGGUGCUCGAGUGGCGAACGGGUGAGUAACACGUGAGUAACCUGCCCUUGACUUUGGGAUAACUUCAGGAAACUGGGGCUAAUACCGGUUAGGAGCUCCUGCUGCAUGGUGGGGGUUGGAAAGUUUCGGCGGUUGGGGAUGGACUCGCGGCUUAUCAGCUUGUUGGUGGGGUAGUGGCUUAUCAAGGCUUUGACGGGUAGCCGGCCUGAGAGGGUGACCGGCCACAUUGGGACUGAGAUACGGCCCAGACUCCUACGGGAGGCAGCAGUGGGGAAUAUUGCACAAUGGGCGGAAGCCUGAUGCAGCAACGCCGCGUGCGGGAUGACGGCCUUCGGGUUGUAAACCGCUUUCGCCUGUGACGAAGCGUGAGUGACGGUAAUUGGUAAAGAAGCACCGGCUAACUACGUG